GUAUAGAAGACUUUCCUAAUGUUGGAAGUUGAAUCAAUUGAUCCAACGUUUUAAGAUGCAAUCCACACUUAGUGAGGUCCUUCCACAUAGUUUCCUGUAGAAAUUCAGUUUCACAAAAGAGGACUGUUAACUUCUGUAUCCAAGUUUGUUUCGGAGUUUUUCUGUGUCUUGCUCCUAGUUUCUUCUACCCAAGGUAAAGAAAAUUCUAUGCCUGAGUAGGGAAGGGGUUUCUCUCUUCUGUUACAGCACUGAAAUAUCUAUAGGGACAACAGGGGAAGUGAAUGACUAUACAAGCAGAUAAGAAAACGGUUAUAGAAGUUUCUGUGAGAGGCGCAAAUAGAAAAAUUAUUUCAAUUUGUUUACAUCUCUUUCUGUUACAGUAAAUUUACAUGUGUCAAGUAAUAAA
Molecule: long non-coding RNA, 406 nt
Organism: Malaclemys terrapin pileata
Lineage: Eukaryota; Metazoa; Chordata; Testudines; Emydidae
Exons: 3
Source: RefSeq, a predicted model, not a curated record